UACGAAGGGGGCUAGCGUUGUUCGGAAUUACUGGGCGUAAAGCGCACGUAGGCGGAUUGUUAAAUGAGGGGUGAAGUCCCGAAGCUCAACCUCGGAACUGCCUUUCAUACUGGCAAUCUAGAGAUCGGAAGAGGUGAGUGGAAUUCCCAGUGUAGAGGUGAAAUUCGUAGAUAUUGGGAAGAACACCAGUGGCGAAGGCGACUCGCUGGACAAGUAUUGACGCUGAGGUGCGAAAGCGUGGGGAGCAAACAGG
RNAcentral lists this ribosomal RNA (253 nucleotides) under uncultured bacterium. Its description in RNAcentral is "partial 16S ribosomal RNA". It matches the Rfam family "Bacterial small subunit ribosomal RNA", at positions 524 to 776 of the family's 1533-position model. The record is from RNAcentral.